AUGCCAAAAGAAGAAAAUGCUCUCCGUCUUGAAGACUACCGCCCUAUCAGCCUCACACAUAGCAUUGCGAAGAUUCUUGGGAAACUGCUUGCUCGCCGCCUCACUCCAGAGAUGCAUCGCUUGAUUUCUGUCAGCCAAAGUGCUUUCCUGAAGGGAAGAUCCAUUCAAGACAAUUUCAUCUAUGUCCAGAACCUCAUUCAGAGCCUGCAUCGAGCGAAAAAAAGAUCAAGUUUCUUCAAGCUUGAUAUUGCGAAAGCUUUUGACUCAGUAAGAUGGGAUUGCCUCCUUGAUGUCCUUAAGCACGUGGGUUUCUCUUAG
RNAcentral lists this ribosomal RNA (318 nucleotides) under Triticum aestivum (bread wheat). RNAcentral's name for it is "partial small subunit ribosomal RNA". Lineage: Eukaryota; Viridiplantae; Streptophyta; Magnoliopsida; Poales; Poaceae. The record is from RNAcentral.